GCACGGCCGGGGAGCCCUUCGGUGUGCUCGAUUUGUGUUUCUUUGGACUAACAAAAGUGUAUUUUCCUCGGAAUUUCUGCCACCAAAUCGCCCGGUUUCCCCGCUGAGGGGGGAGAAGAGCAGCCAGAAACGUGUUUGGAGCCGAUGGAGGGACAAAGCGUCCUUGGACACAUCGUGCAUGCACAACUGGUCUGCAGUCUGCUCUCUUCCUGGAUGUUGACACCUCAGACACUGAUGUGACACCCUUCCAGACUUAACCUGUGACCUGGAGUCACUGUGAUUAAGGCAGAAAAAAAUGCCAAUCAAUGAGAAAAAGGGUUGCCAGAGUUCACAGAGAUCUUUCAGAGCCCUUCACCUUCAAGGACUUUCCUCUGUCUCUGUGAGUAAUGAUGUGUGUAUUUGGCCAUGAUGAGCACAGCAUAUUCUCCAUAUUGGAAUUAUAUUAAUUUCCUAGACACAGUGAGUCCUGAACUACAAAUGGAGGACUGCAGGCAUAGCCAACAGAAAUGAGGCAUAGAUGGAAAAACCAUAAUGACUGAUUUUCAGUCAUGAAGUUAUACCAGGAUAACAAAGAGAAAUGUCAUCACUUGCAACACAACC
Cyanistes caeruleus (blue tit) is the source of this 600-nucleotide non-coding RNA. The record is from RefSeq and is a predicted model, not a curated record. NCBI's taxonomy places the organism in Eukaryota, Metazoa, Chordata, Aves, Passeriformes, Paridae.